RNAcentral lists this transfer RNA (58 nucleotides) under Ovis aries (sheep). The record is from Rfam by way of RNAcentral. Lineage: Eukaryota; Metazoa; Chordata; Mammalia; Artiodactyla; Bovidae.
UGGCUCAGACGGUAAAAGCAUCUGCCUACAAAGUGGGAGACCCAGGUUCGAUCCCUGG